This is an RNA transcript of Acinonyx jubatus (cheetah), 3122 nucleotides long. It is a transcript of the gene named F-box protein 21, with no coding region annotated. NCBI's taxonomy places the organism in Eukaryota, Metazoa, Chordata, Mammalia, Carnivora, Felidae. The transcript has 11 exons. The record is from RefSeq and is a predicted model, not a curated record.
GCGCGCGCGCGCGCGGCGGGCCCAGGUACGCGGACAAGAUGGCGGCGGCAGCGGUCGACAGCGCGAUGGAGGUGGUGCCGGCGCUGGCGGAGGAGGCCGCGCCCGAGGCGGCGGGCCUCAGCUGCCUGGUCAACCUGCCCGGCGAGGUGCUGGAGUACAUCCUGUGCAGCGGCUCGCUGACGGCCGCCGACAUCGGCCGCGUCUCCAGCACCUGCCGGCGGCUGCGCGAGCUGUGCCAGAGUAGCGGGAAGGUGUGGAAGGAGCAGUUCCGGGUGAGGUGGCCUUCCCUUAUGAAACACUACAGCCCCACCGACUACGUCAAUUGGUUGGAGGAGUAUAAAGUUCGGCAGAAAGCUGGGUUAGAAGCCCGGAAGAUUGUAGCCUCCUUCUCAAAGAGGUUCUUUUCAGAGCACGUCCCUUGUAAUGGUUUUAGUGACAUAGAGAAUCUAGAGGGACCAGAGAUAUUUUUUGAGGAUGAACUGGUGUGUAUCCUAAAUAUGGAAGGAAGAAAAGCUCUGACUUGGAAGUACUACGCUAAAAAAAUUCUUUACUACCUACGCCAACAGAAAAUUUUAAAUAACCUAAAGGCAUUUCUUCAGCAGCCUGAUGACUAUGAAUCGUACCUUGAAGGCGCUGUAUAUAUUGACCAGUACUGCAAUCCUCUCUCUGACAUCAGCCUCAAAGAUAUCCAGGCCCAGAUUGACAACAUCGUAGAGCUGGUCUGCAAAACCCUCCGGGGCAUGAACAGUCGCCACCCCAGCUUGGCCUUCAAGGCAGGUGAAUCCUCCAUGAUAAUGGAGAUAGAACUCCAGAGCCAGGUGCUGGACGCCAUGAACUACGUCCUUUAUGACCAGCUGAAGUUUAAGGGGAACCGAAUGGAUUACUAUAAUGCCCUAAACUUAUACAUGCACCAGGUUUUGAUUCGAAGAACAGGAAUUCCGAUCAGCAUGUCUCUGCUCUACUUGACAAUUGCCCGGCAGUUGGGGGUCCCACUGGAACCUGUCAACUUCCCCAGUCACUUCUUGUUAAGGUGGUGCCAAGGUGCAGAAGGGGCAACCCUGGACAUCUUUGACUACAUCUACAUAGACGCUUUUGGGAAAGGGAAGCAGCUGACAGUGAAAGAGUGUGAAUACCUGAUCGGCCAGCACGUGACGGCAGCACUGUACGGGGUGGUCAACGUGAAGAAGGUGUUACAGCGAAUGGUGGGAAACCUUUUAAGCCUGGGAAAGCGGGAAGGCAUCGACCAGUCUUACCAACUCCUGCGAGACUCCCUGGAUCUGUACCUGGCGAUGUACCCGGACCAGGUGCAGCUUCUCCUCCUGCAAGCCAGGCUCUAUUUCCACCUGGGCAUCUGGCCAGAGAAGUCUUUCUGUCUUGUCUUGAAGGUGCUUGACAUCCUCCAGCACAUUCAAACCCUAGACCCCGGGCAGCACGGGGCGGUGGGCUAUCUGGUGCAGCACACGUUAGAGCACAUCGAGCGCAAGAAGGAGGAGGUGGGUGUGGAGGUGAAGCUGCGCUCCCACGAGAAGCACAGAGACGUCUGCUACUCCAUUGGGCUCAUUAUGAAGCAUAAGAGGUGAGUGCCCGUGGCGGCCAUCCCCACGCGGCUGCAGAGGACACGCGUGCCUGCCAGCACGCAUCCCGGGAGCCGCUGCGACGGACUGGCCACCGCGGGAGCCGCCCGAGGCCGAGCUGGUCUGAACCGCAUCUACCCUUUUCGUUUUGUAAGAAGAGUCUCGCUGUCCUCGCUCAGGGUCUUCUAAUGGGAGAGCUGUAAGCUGGGGGGGUUUCCGCUCAUUUCCUCGUUGUCCUGAAGCUUCGUUUAUCUCCAUCCCUGUGAAUCCGAGUUGCAGGUAGGGCUUGCCCGUCUGUAGGGCAAGCUCCUGGUCGAUUGACUAGGCAAAACUCAACCGCGUCCACAGCAACAGUGCCGGUUACGAUUUACGUGCCACCGGCAGGCUGGGAGCGGAGGGUCCUGUUCUCCCCUACGUGUUAUUGCCAGACCUUUAAAAAUGCACUUACAGAGUAAAUGGCGACUGGUAUUUCAUUGUGGUUUUCGUUUGCAUUUCCCCGGUUGACUACGCGGAUGGGCUUGUGAACCUGGAAAAGAAGCUCAUUCAAGUUUCCUUUUAUUAAGCGCAUCUUCAAGUCUUCCUGUUUUUCAUUUGAGUUAUUCAUCUUUCUUAGGGGUUUUCAGUCCUUUAUCCUGUUACUUGUGUCUGUGUGCAUAUACGUUGCCAAUAUCUUUUCCCAGUUUGGGGCUAGUAUUUUUUAUCCUUUUAGUGCAUUCUUUUUUUUCUUCAACUUUAAUAUGGAAAUUUCAAGCAUAUAUGAGUAGAGACGAGGAUAGUGAACCAGACGAUGCUCCCAUAACCAGCUUCAACAGUUGUCGUGAGGGUCUGCCUUCACUCUUUUCAUCCCCCUAACCCCGCCCCUCCCUGGAAGCUGGUACCAGAUGUCAUUCCAUCUGUGGCUCACCUGUAGCUGUUUCAGUGUGUGUACCUAAAAGGUAAGGCCUUGCUGUCUCCUUUAAAAGUACAUUUACCAUCCUCUUGUAUCUAAGAAAAAAACAACUGCUUCACCUCCUCACUUAGGUCUAGUCAGGGUUCCUGUUUCCCCAGUUGUCCUGUAGUUUUUUAAUAGUCUGCUUGAAUCUGGGUCCUUUUAAUACUAUUAAAUUGAGUACUCUUUUCCCUUAUGGCUGUAUUUUUCAUAUCUGGUUUAAGAACUCUUUUUAUGUCCUGUGUCAUGAAGCUAGCCUACAAAUUCUGUGUUUUCUAUCCAGGCCUUUGUCCCCCUAGGACACUGUGCGCUGUUCUCAGGCCUGGGUCCUGAUCCCUUUUUCCAUUUGGAUAACCAGUUGUCCUGUGAGUCUCCGUUGAAGUCUGUUUUUUUCCACCUGAAGUGCUAUCUUGAUAAUAAGAGGGGUUUGUAAAGGGAGCCAAGAGUGUCCUGAAAAAUGCUUAUUAACAGGGAUAAAAGCAGGUAUGGCUAUAACUGUGUGAUCUAUGGCUGGGACCCUACCUGCAUGAUGGGACACGAAUGGAUCCGAAACAUGAACGUCCACAGCCUGCCUCAUGGCCAUCAUCAGCCUUUCUAUAAUGUUCUGGUGGAGGAUGGUU